RNAcentral lists this ribosomal RNA (255 nucleotides) under uncultured bacterium. RNAcentral's name for it is "partial 16S ribosomal RNA". It matches the Rfam family "Bacterial small subunit ribosomal RNA", at positions 524 to 776 of the family's 1533-position model. The record is from RNAcentral.
UACGUAGGGUGCAAGCGUUAAUCGGAAUUACUGGGCGUAAAGCGUGCGCAGGCGGUUGUGCAAGACAGAUGUGAAAUCCCCGGGCUUAACCUGGGAAUUGCAUUUGUGACUGCACGGCUAGAGUGUGUCAGAGGGGGGUAGAAUUCCACGUGUAGCAGUGAAAUGCGUAGAGAUGUGGAGGAAUACCGAUGGCGAAGGCAGCCCCCCUGGGAUAACACUGACGCUCAUGCACGAAAGCGUGGGGGAGCAAACAGG